RNAcentral lists this non-coding RNA (21 nucleotides) under Arabidopsis thaliana (thale cress). The record is from RNAcentral. Lineage: Eukaryota; Viridiplantae; Streptophyta; Magnoliopsida; Brassicales; Brassicaceae.
UGGUCGUCAAUAGCUGCCUGU